This is a long non-coding RNA of Apis florea (little honeybee), 598 nucleotides long. The record is from RefSeq and is a predicted model, not a curated record. Lineage: Eukaryota; Metazoa; Arthropoda; Insecta; Hymenoptera; Apidae.
UAUCAACACUGAAUUUAUGAAAAAGAUCUCGUUCAUGCUUCAUUUUGAAGGAACUUUUUUAUUAUGCGUUAAAGUACAAAGUUAUCUUUGUUUUGGUGAUUUUAUAUAUAGAUUUCGUUAAUAUAUAAUACGAAAUAAAUUGGCGGAAAUAUACAUUUCAUGUGAAAUGAUACUGUCAUUAUAUUGUUUAAUGAGGUUACGUCGGUAUAAAUGACAGUAUAUUAGUCAAAUAUAAAGUUAAACCUAAAAGUCAUGUAAAAGAAAUGUUCAAAAGGAUUGGGAUUGAAACAUUUUGUUAAUUUCAAUUGUGAUACAUUACAAUAUAAAUACUUUGUGAGAAUUUAAUGAAUGAAGGCAAAACGAGAUAUUUUGCGGGGGGUCUUUACUGGGGUUAUUGUGACCCAAGUAGACCAAAAAUCCGCUUUAAUAGUAAGCUUUCGAUCAAGACUGCCAAUGUAAGACUGAACUACUGAUGUAUGGAAUAAUUGUCUUUAACAUUAAAUACGGACAGCAUCAAUGGGAAACUGUUUCUCGUGUUUUAAGGUGUCUCUUCCACCAGCCACUGCCACAAGAUCUUCAUCAUUUGAUUAUAAGGACG